Molecule: ribosomal RNA, 308 nt
Filed under: uncultured Helotiales
Lineage: Eukaryota; Fungi; Ascomycota; Leotiomycetes; Helotiales
Description: partial large subunit ribosomal RNA
Rfam family: Eukaryotic large subunit ribosomal RNA
Source: RNAcentral
AUAUCAAUAAGCGGAGGAAAAGAAACCAACAGGGAUUGCCUCAGUAACGGCGAGUGAAGCGGCAACAGCUCAAAUUUGAAAGCUGCCAACAGGCCGCAUUGUAAUUUGUAGAAGAUGCUUUGGGUGCCGGCCUAGUCUAAGUUCCUUGGAACAGGACGUCAUAGAGGGUGAGAAUCCCGUACGUGAUUAGUGCCGGUGCCCGUGUAAAGCUCUUUCGACGAGUCGAGUUGUUUGGGAAUGCAGCCCUAAAUUGGAGGUAAAUCCCUUCUGAGGCUAAAUAUUGGCGAGAGACCGAUAGCGCACAAGUA